AGCCAAAGCUAACCCGUACAAAGGCGUAUCUAAGGAGAAGUUGGAAUGAUCCUCUCGGGCAAUGUCAUGUCACACCAUUUGGAUUCUCUGUUAUGAUGAAAAAGCUGAUGGACUUGGCCGAAGGUAAAAUUGUGAUGGCUUUGGAGGGGGUACAAUUUGGACUCUUUAGCAAAUUCAGG
Papaver somniferum (opium poppy) is the source of this 179-nucleotide long non-coding RNA. RefSeq lists it as uncharacterized. The transcript has 3 exons. NCBI's taxonomy places the organism in Eukaryota, Viridiplantae, Streptophyta, Magnoliopsida, Ranunculales, Papaveraceae. The record is from RefSeq and is a predicted model, not a curated record.